Molecule: transfer RNA, 84 nt
Filed under: Actinomycetota bacterium
Lineage: Bacteria; Bacillati; Actinomycetota
Description: tRNA-Leu
Rfam family: tRNA
About the family: Transfer RNA (tRNA) molecules are approximately 80 nucleotides in length.
Source: RNAcentral
GCGGAUGUGGCGGAAUUGGUAGACGCGCACGGUUCAGGUCCGUGUGGGGGUGACCCCGUGGAGGUUCGAGUCCUCUCAUCCGCA